This 805-nucleotide unclassified non-coding RNA is filed under the name Hevea brasiliensis (rubber tree). The record is from RNAcentral. Lineage: Eukaryota; Viridiplantae; Streptophyta; Magnoliopsida; Malpighiales; Euphorbiaceae.
GUGAAAGUCCGCUGUUUAGGUAAAUUUGCUUUCUCUUCAAAGGGCAUAUGAUAACAAUUGAAUGUACUUAUGUCUUGACUAUUUCAUCUCCACUAUGCUCUUAUAUCUCGCUUGACUGCUGGUUUAUAUUAUUACCAACGAGGUUCUGCAUCAAAUUAUGUACCUUUUGGUCCUGCACACAAAAUGAACUUGGUAAAGUAUUUGACAUUGCUCUGAGCAAGUCUUGACUUAUAUCUUUUGAAAAUUGCUGAUUUUAUUUUCAAAGGAAGGUCCUUCCUUGAAUGUGGAAUAAUGUCCCUUCCUGCUUUAUGCUCGUAAUGUUUUGGGGCUCCCCAACAAUUAUAUAACUGCUAAUCCGAUGCCACCCCACCUCAUAUUGUGUCAGAAUGGUAUUUCCUACCGAUCCAUGCCAUUCUUUGUAGUAUAACUGAUGGCAGUGGGAUGUUCUAAACCCCUUUGAUGGAUCCCAUCCUUGGGCUCAAUUUGAGGUUGCUCUAGAGCUACACAGAAGCCAAAAGGGAAGGACUGCUUACGCUAUGUGUGGUAGUGGAUAGAGGGCAAUUCUUCUAUUGUAUUGAUUCAGUGGGUCCUAAUCUCAAAAUUUGUGCAUCUCUGGUUCUUUCUCUGUUUUUCCUUUUUUGGAAAGAAAGAAAAAUAUUUCUUUUACCUUCUCUUUUGAGAAAAUAGGAGGAUUUCUCUUAGCUUCUUUUUACCUUUAGGUUGUUCACAUAGUACACUGAGGAAAAACAAAUUAAUUCCUGGUUCUUCUUCAAAAUUUUCCUUUUUUUAAAAUUUUUUUUUUUAC